AGACCCGUAUGAAAGGCAAAACGAGAGUUCAACUGUCUCUUUAAUCUUAUCAGUGAAAUUUAUUUCUCCGUGCAGAAGCGGAGAUAACCAUAUAAGACGAGAAGACCCUAUGGAGCUUUAAAUACAGAACCAACUACAACCACAUUUUUAGCCAACAGGCAAAAAAUUAAUAAGUGUAGUCGUGGUUUAGAUUUUCGGUUGGGGCGACCGCGGAGUAAAAAUUAACCUCCACGACAUACAAUUUAGAACGACACUUCGAAAACUAAAACAUUUAUUUUAAUGACCCACUAAGUGAUCAACGAACCAAGUUACC
Molecule: ribosomal RNA, 313 nt
Filed under: Ichthyosaura alpestris (Alpine newt)
Lineage: Eukaryota; Metazoa; Chordata; Amphibia; Caudata; Salamandridae
Description: partial 16S ribosomal RNA
Rfam family: Bacterial large subunit ribosomal RNA
Source: RNAcentral